CCAACGUAUCUAAAAUACUGCUUUUCAACAUGGAAUCGUAUGUAAAUUAUUAGUAUGUUUUCACACAUUCUUCUCUUUACACUGGGCCUUUGCAUUCAGAGUACCACUCCAGGAGCCCAGCUGAUAUAUGGCUGCCUCCUGGGAAGGAGCCUGGGCACACAAGAGCCCCGUGCCCACUGGAGCCCGUGGUGGAGAUCGGGCUCCUUCUGCCGUGUCAGGGCGGCAGGCUCCAAGGAGGCUCUCAUGUGUGCAGAUGCACUGUCUCUUCAGUUGUGUCUGACUCUCUGCAACCCUGUGGACUGUAGCCUGCCAGGAUCCUCUGUCCAUAGGAUUCCCCAGGCAAACAUACUAGAGUAGAUUGCCAUGCUCACUUCUAGGGUAUCUUCCUGACCCAGGGAUGGAACCUGCAUCUCUUACAUCUCCUGCAUUGGCAGGCAAGUUCCUUACCACUAGUGCCACCUGGGAAGUCUGAGACUCUCCUGACUGCCCCCCAAAUACCACAUCAGGGUGCCGGAGAACGCUGAGAUGGGCAUCAGGAGCCCCCUCAAGGCCUGCCAUCCUCCACCUUGGGCCCGGCCUCUGUACCUCACCUGUGGGCUGGCCUGGGCCCCGAGCCUUGGAAACAUGCUCCAGGCAGGGAAGAUGAGUGACCACAGGCCUCAGUUUCCCUGUUUCCUUUCAGCCUGGCCUGAGAUCUGAUGCCCACUGGCAGGGACAGAGAUGCCCAGUGUCUUACUCUGUUCAGGCUAUUGUAACAAGAUACCACAGACGGUGGCUGUAGAGAGCAUAGUUUUCUCUCUUGGUCCUGGAGGCUGGCAGUCUGAGGUUGGGUGCCAGCAUGGUUGGGUUCUGGUGGGGCCCACAUCCAGGUCCUGUUCCUCAUGGGUAGGGCACAGCUGUGAGGGCGCUAAUUCUGCUAGUGCGGGCCUCACCCUCGAGACCCAGACACUUCCCAGGGCCCUACCUCCCUGACUGGGGUUAAGUUUCAACACAGGAAUUUGGGGGCCUCAAGCGUUCAGGCCACAGCAUCUGCGUGGCUCUCAGGCACCCUGCAGCCACGUUCCAGGUGCUUUCAUCACAGGCACCCUCUGGGGUAGGGGAGGAACAGACGCCCCUGUGGAUCCCCUUGCAGGCCUGGCUGCAGAUGGUGAUGGCCCAGCUUCCUCCUGGGAAGCAAGGUCUCCUAUCCUGGAGACCUGGGUCCCCCUGCAGGCCCGCACAGCACCGUCAAACACAUGCUCUGCAGGGAAGAUCCUCAUGCUGUCCAGGCUCCUUGCCAAGCCCGCCAGCCAGGCCAUGAGUCCAAAUGCUCAGACAGAGACGCUGCUGUCAGGGCUGGACUCUGACUCCCAAGAGGAAGUUCAAAAUGAAACAGUUUCACUAGUGAAAGAAAAGUUGCAGAGCCAAGCGCAGAUACCAGAAGUGGGAAAGCAGCGCUCUGAGUGCUUCCACCAGAUGGUGCGACUUGAAUGGAGGCAGCUUUUUACCUGGCACGAUGGAGCGGCCCCAGACUCGGGGACUGCUGGCAGAGCUGGGUCCUGGUCGAGGCAAGUGGGCCCCAUGUGGCUUGGAGACCCAGGGUGACCUGUCCCCUAGACGAGGGAGCCAGGGCCUCUCCCCUUGGUCCUCUGGAGCAGGCCCUGCCUUCUUAGGUGUGGACGGGUGGACACCUGGAGCCAGGAGAGUUUCUGUGUUCCCAAACUCUCUGGGGCAGCCGCUGCCAGGAAGUGGCUGCGUUUCCCAGGGGGAAGGAGGGCACACUAGUGGAGCCCUGCCCAGCUGGGCACUGGGUGGUCAAUUCUGCGUGCGUAGACCUCAGGAGGGCCCUGGCCUGCCUGCCCUCCCAGCCAGCUGGACCUCGAUUGUGCUCCUGCCUGAGGGUUUUUCCAUCCUGUGCUGAAGCCUCAGCGCUGCAGGCAGGCCAUUCCGCUCAAAACCACAAGUUGUGUGUGUGGAUCUGUGUGUUUGUAUGUGUGUAUGGCUCUCUGUGUCUAUGUGUGUGUGUUUUAUCUGUGUGUCUGUGUGUGUAUGUGUGUGUGGAUCUGUAUGUGUGUGUGUGUGUCUGUAUCUGUGUGUGUGUGGGUCUGUGUGUAUGGGUCUCUGUGUGUGGGGGUAUAUGUGGGUGACUGCAUGCGCACGUCUUGUGUUCUCUGCCCCAGAGCUGAGUCCAGGGCUCACCCAGAACGAGGUGCUUCCUGCUGGGGGGGAGGCCGAGGCUGAGGGGCUGCCCGGUGUGCUGGGCAGCGCUGGGCCCCUCUGGGGAGCCCCCCUAGAGUGCUGGUCUCAGGCCGACUCCUGCAGUCCUUUCUUCCUCUCAACUUUGCCCUCACUCCCCUUCCCCCACUCCUUCCUGGCAAGCAGAUGCAAUCCAAACUUGUUGUGAAUGUCUCCCCUGCAGUUGUCCACCGGCUCGUCCAAGUUAAAUAUUACUCACCGAGAUGCGAGCCCACUGGGCAGUGCUGGCCUGGAGGUGGACCGGUCUGGGGAAGGUGCUGGGCAGAGGCCAGUGCCAGGCCUGUGGCAUCUGUGGGUGCUGGGGGUGGGGCUGGGGUGGCAGCCAGGAGCCUGCCAGCCUUGGGCUCGCCCUUUGAAGGGGCUGUUUCCUUAACCCCUGCACUGUGCCCAGAGCAGGCAGGAGAGCGGGUAGUGGGUCCCUGGGCAGGGUGGGGCAUGGCGGGGCCACCCAGGGACCAAGAGGGGCUUGGACUGGGCUUGGCAAUGGCUUUCCUCCCGGUCGGUGGCUCCUGCCCUGUGCCAGGCUGGGGGCGGGACUGGGGACAAAGUGCUAGGAAGAACAGCCUGUCUCUUUCAAACCAACUUCUUUCCUGGCCCUCAGUUUUUCCCAGCAGCAAAGUAGAGGAACUGGGGUCUGGUGGCUGGACCCCUCCUCCUCUGGGGAAGAACCACCUGCUUCCCCUGGCAGCUUCUCCAUCCACCUACCAGUCAGUGACGGGCUGUGGCUCUGAGGUCCUUCCCGGCUGGCUUGGAGCAGGGUCCCCCAGACGGCCAUCCUCUGGGGCAGCAGAGCUGGGGGACUCACCAGGGCCAACCUCCCGCCAGCACCUGCCCCACUCUCCACGUGGACCCCAACGGGACCUGACCGCACCCAGCCUCAGGGCCUUUGCACCUACUGUGCCCUGCACUCACCUCUUACCCAUCACAGGGCACUGCUGGAAUGGACCUCCUGAGGAGCACUAUCUCCCUCGCUUGGUACCCCACCCACCUUCCCCGGCCCCAGUCUGUUCUUAAAAGCAUAUACCCCCGACUAAUACAGAACAUCUGGAAGUUUCAUUUUUCAUUGUCUCCCAUGAAAACAGAACCACUGGAGAACAGGAAUUCUUUCCUGCCUGUCUACAUGCGUAUCACAGUUUGGCCCUUGAUAAACCUGGUGGGGGAGACCGAUUCCAUAGUCAUGCCUAGUAUGGGGGUCUCACCCACAGUCACACAUCGCCUCUCAGGGCCAGAGCCCCCGGCCCACACUUGAAUCUCAGCCUAGGGUCCAAGAAUUCCGAACAGGGUCCCCUGUGAGAGGCCCGCAGGGUGUAAAGGAGACGCGGGGCUGUGGCUGUCCCAGAAGUCUGAGCCACCACAUAAAACCCUACAGGAGGGAGCUGUCUGGUGGCCUAAUGGUUAGGAUUCCUGGCUUCACUACCUGGAAACCCUGACCAAGGAACUGAGAUCCCUAAAGCCAUGCAGAGUAGCCAAUAAAAUAAAAUAAAAUAUUAAAACAAAAACAAAACCAAGGAAGAGAG
Long non-coding RNA from Bos taurus (domestic cattle), 3752 nucleotides. NCBI's taxonomy places the organism in Eukaryota, Metazoa, Chordata, Mammalia, Artiodactyla, Bovidae. The record is from Ensembl.